UCGAACGGUAACAGGAAGCAGCUUGCUGCUUCGCUGACGAGUGGCGGACGGGUGAGUAAUGUCUGGGAAGCUGCCUGAUGGAGGGGGAUAACUACUGGAAACGGUAGCUAAUACCGCAUAAUGUCGCAAGACCAAAGAGGGGGACCUUCGGGCCUCUUGCCAUCGGAUGUGCCCAGAUGGGAUUAGCUUGUUGGUGGGGUAACGGCUCACCAAGGCGACGAUCCCUAGCUGGUCUGAGAGGAUGACCAGCCACACUGGAACUGAGACACGGUCCAGACUCCUACGGGAGGCAGCAGUGGGGAAUAUUGCACAAUGGGCGCAAGCCUGAUGCAGCCAUGCCGCGUGUAUGAAGAAGGCCUUCGGGUUGUAAAGUACUUUCAGCGGGGAGGAAGGGAGUAAAGUUAAUACCUUUGCUCAUUGACGUUACCCGCAGAAGAAGCACCGGCUAACUCCGUGCCAGCAGCCGCGGUAAUACGGAGGGUGCAAGCGUUAAUCGGAAUUACUGGGCGUAAAGCGCACGCAGGCGGUUUGUUAAGUCAGAUGUGAAAUCCCCGGGCUCAACCUGGGAACUGCAUCUGAUACUGGCAAGCUUGAGUCUCGUAGAGGGGGGUAGAAUUCCAGGUGUAGCGGUGAAAUGCGUAGAGAUCUGGAGGAAUACCGGUGGCGAAGGCGGCCCCCUGGACGAAGACUGACGCUCAGGUGCGAAAGCGUGGGGAGCAAACAGG
Molecule: ribosomal RNA, 725 nt
Filed under: uncultured Escherichia sp.
Lineage: Bacteria; Pseudomonadati; Pseudomonadota; Gammaproteobacteria; Enterobacterales; Enterobacteriaceae
Description: bacterial SSU rRNA
Rfam family: Bacterial small subunit ribosomal RNA
Source: RNAcentral